UCCAAUCGAACUCGGAGAUAGCUGGUUCUCCCCGAAAUAGCUUUAGGGCUAGCGUUAUUUUAGAUUACCGGAGGUAAAGCACUGAAUGGUCUAGGGGCCGCGAGGUUACCAAAGCCUAUCAAACUCUGAAUGCCGGAUAAUUGAUGAAUAGCAGUCAGACUGUGUGAGAUAAGUCUCAUAGUCAAAAGGGAAACAGCCCAGAUCUACAGCUAAGGUCCCAAAUGAACACUAAGUGGAAAAUGAUGUGAAACUGCGAAGACAACCAGGAUGUUGGCUUAGAAGCAGCCACUCAUUCAAAGAGUGCGUAAUAGCUCACUGGUCGAGUGGUUUUGCGCAGAAAAUGUAACGGGGCUAAGUGUUCAACCGAAGCUUAGGCAUUGCAGCAAUGCAUUGGGUAGGGGAGCGUCGUAUGCGGGGUGAAGUCAGAGCGGAAGCACUGGUGGACUGCAUACGAGUGAGAAUGCCGGAAUAAGUAGCGAGAAUUAUGUGAGAAUCAUAAUGGCCGAAAAUCUAAGGUUUCUUGGGGAAGGUUCGUCCGCCCAAGGUUAGUCGGGAGCUAAGCUCAGGCCGAAAGGCGUAGGCGAUGCACAUACGGUAGAAAUUCCGUAACCACCGAACAUUUAAGCUAGAGGGACGCUUUCUUUAAGGUUAUCCCGGGCGAUGGUUGCCCCGGGCGUAAGGGACCGAAAUAUAGUAGGGAAGUAACUGGCGAGAGAGACGAGAAAAGCUCUGGUGUAUACUAAGGUGCCCGUACCGCAAACCGACACAGGUAGAUGGGAUGAGUAUUCUAAGGCCAACGGGAGAAGGGUUGUUAAGGAACUCGGCAAAUUGGCCCCGUAACUUCGGGAUAAGGGGCGCCUGCGAGAGCAGGCCGCAGUGAAAAGGCCCAAGCGACUGUUUAGCAAAAACACAGCUCUCUGCUAAAUCGAAAGAUGACGUAUAGGGGGUGACGCCUGCCCGGUGCUGGAAGGUUAAGGGGAGUGCUUAGCGCAAGCGAAGGUGCGAACUUAAGCCCCAGUAAACGGCGGCCGUAACUAUAACGGUCCUAAGGUAGCGAAAUUCCUUGUCAGGUAAGUUCUGACCCGCACGAAUGGCGUAACGAUUUGGGCACUGUCUCAACAGCCCGCCCGGCGAAAUUGUAGUACCGGUGAAGAUGCCGGUUUCCCGCAACUAGACGGAAAGACCCCAUGGAGCUUCACUGUAGCUUGAUAUUGGAUCUCGGUAUUCCAUGUACAGGAUAGGUGGGAGGCUAGGAAGCGAGCGCGCCAGCGUUCGUGGAGCCAACCUUGGGAUACCACUCUUGGGAUAUUGGGAUUCUAACCUGCGACCAUGAAUCUGGUCGGGGGACACUGUCAGGUGGGCAGUUUGACUGGGGCGGUCGCCUCCAAAAGAGUAACGGAGGCGCUCAAAGGUUCGUUCAGCACGGAUGGAAAUCGUGCACUGAGUGUAAACGCAUAAACGAGCCUAACUGCGAGAAUGACGGUUCGAGCAGUAACGAAAGUUGGAGUUAGUGAUCCGGCGGUAUGUGAAUGGAAAUGCCGUCGCUCAACGGAUAAAAGCUACCCUGGGGAUAACAGGCUGAUCUCCCCCAAGAGUCCACAUCGACGGGGAGGUUUGGCACCUCGAUGUCGGCUCAUCGCAUCCUGGGGCUGAAUUCGGUCCCAAGGGUUUGGCUGUUCGCCAAUUAAAGCGGUACGCGAGCUGGGUUCAGAACGUCGUGAGACAGUUCGGUCCCUAUCUGUUGCGGGCGUAGGAAUAUUGAGAGGAGCUGUCCUUAGUACGAGAGGACCGGGAUGGACGUACCGCUGGUGCACCAGUUGUUCUGCCAAGGGCAUAGCUGGGUAGCUAAGUACGGACGAGAUAAACGCUGAAGGCAUCUAAGCGUGAAACUCCCCUCGAGAUAAGUGUUCCCAUCCUUCGGGAGUAAGGCCCCUUGUAGACUACAAGGUUGAUAGGUCAGGAGUGGAAGUGCAGUAAUGUAUGGAGCGGACUGAUACUAAUAGGCCGAGGGCUUGACCUU
Molecule: ribosomal RNA, 2020 nt
Filed under: human gut metagenome
Description: bacterial LSU rRNA
Rfam family: Bacterial large subunit ribosomal RNA
Source: RNAcentral